UAACUAGGGCCCCGUUGGGGCACUGGCGGGCCCGAGCCGUGUCACGCCGCCCCCAGCGGGACCGCCUCCCCCACCCGAUCGCGUCACACUCAAGGUCCAAAGAUGGUGUGCGCACUUGUUUGUGGUCAUUUACCAUUAUAAUGAACGGGAGGCGCAGUUUCUACCAAAACGCUAGCUGCAGAAAAACUCCAUGUCCUAUUUGAAAAAAGUCUGGACCAUGAGUGAAGGCACAAACACAGCUAAGAUAUAUCCAAAUGGCAAGUUGCUCCUCUUUUCGCUUUUGCCGAGAGAGCAGUGCGUUUGAGCCAUUGAAUGAUGAACAGGAAAAACUUGACUUUAUUCUCCUGCCAUGGGGGGGCGCUCUUUUGGCGAGUAAAAAUUCCUUCACAAAUUUGUUGAUGGCUGGACAUUGCAUCAUCCUAGAAAACUUGGAGGCCAGUGGGGACAAAAAUAAAAAGUUAUAAGACUUUUAAAUAUGUGGAUUUUAGGGUUAUCUUUGGCGCCCCCUAGAACCUAAACCGUGGGGUGCAGCGUCAUGAUUUGAAUAACUUUUAAUGGCCAUGGGGUGUAGAUUGGCCUGAGCAAAUGUGGUGCCGGUGGAACGAAAGCCUUCGGAGGAGUUAGCGAAAUUCCAAUGUGUGCGAAUCUGCAAAAAAUGCGAAAUAACCCUUUAACCGUACAUUUUACAGAUACGUGGCCAUUGACUUUUUCGAAGAUCUUAUUGAAAUACACGUGUAUGUAAAAUUUUGUGUCAAUACGACAAAACAUACAGGCGUAGCACUCAACAAUGUGUAUUUUCACCUUAGUGGACAAGAAAAAAUGGACUUUUUUCUCCUGCCAUGGGGGGCGCUCUUUUGGCGAGUAAAAAUUCCUUCACAAAUGUGUUGAUGGCUGGACAUUGCAUCAUCCUAGAAAACUUGGAGGCCAGUGGGGACAAAAAUAAAAAGUUAUAAGACUUUUAAAUAUGUGGAUUUUACGGUUAUCUUUGGCGCCCCCUAGAACCUAAACCGUGGGGUGCAGCGUCAUGAUUUGAAUAACUUUUAAUGGCCAUGGGGUGUAGAUUGGCCUGAGCAAAUGUGGUGCCGGUGGAACAAAAGCCUUCGGAGGAGUUAGCGAAAUUCCAAUGUGUGCGGAUCGGCAAAAAAUGCGGAAUAACCCUUUAACUGUACAUUUGACAGAUACGCGCGCAUUGACUUUUUUGUAGAUCUUAUUGAGAUACAUGUGUAUGUCAAUUUUUGUGUCAUUUUGCCAAAGCGUACAGGUGUUACACUCAACAAUGUGUAUUUUCACCUUAGGGGACAAGAAAAAAUGGACUUUUUUCUCCUGCCAUGGGGGGGCGCUCUUUUGGGGAGUAAAAAUUCCUUCACAAAUGUGUUGAUGGCUGGACAUUGCAUCAUCCUAGAAAACUUGGAGGCCAGUGAGGGCAAAAAUAAAAAGUUAUAAGACUUUUAAAUAUGUGGAUCUUAGGGUUAUCUUUGGCGCCCCCUAGAACCUAAACCGUGGGGUGCAGCGUCAUGAUUUGAAUAACUUUUAAUGGCCAUGGGGUGUAGAUUGGCCUGAGCAAAUGUGGUGCCGGUGGAACGAAAGCCUUCGGAGGAGUUAGCGAAAUUCCAAUGUGUGCGGAUCGGCAAAAAAUGCGAAAUAACCCUUUAACCGUACAUUUGACAGAUACGCCCGCACUGACUUUUUUGUAGAUCUUAUUGAGAUACAUGUGUGUGUCAAUUUUUGUGUCAUUUUGACAAAGCGUACCGGCGUGACAGUGAAUAGUGUGAAUUUUCACCUUAGGGGGCGCUAUGGAGCCAUUUUGCAUUUUCUUGUUUGGGCGACUUCGGAAUAUCAAAUUUUUCACCAGGCCCGGUCGUCCUGCCAAAUUUCAUGAGUUUUCGCCAGUGGGAAGUGGGCCAUUUUCCAGUUCAAAGGGGAGGAAAAAUAAUAACUAGGGCCCCGGUGGGGCACUGUCGGGCCCGAGCCGCGUCGCGCCGCCCCCAGCGCGACCGCCUCCCCCUCCCGAUCGCGUCACACUCAAGGUCCAAAGAUGGUGUGCGCACUUGUCUGUGGUCAUUUCCCAUUAUAAUGAAUGGGAGGCGCAGUUUCUACCAAAACACUCGCUGCAGACAAACUUCAUGUCCUAUUUGAAAAAAGUCUGGACCAUGAGUGAGGGCACAAACACAGCUAGGAUAUAUCCAAAUGGCAGGUUGCUCCUCGUUACGGUGUUGCCGGGAGAGUGAUGCGAUUGAGCCAUUGAGUGAUGGGCAGGAAAAACUUGACUGUUUCUCCUGCCAUGGGGGUUGGGGGAUGGGGGGGGGGGGGUGGAUUCUUUUAAGAAUGUGGAUAUUUGGGUCAUCUUUGGCGCCCCCUAGAACGUAAACCGUGGGGUGCAGCGUCAUGAUUUUUACAACUUUGAAUGGCCAUGGGGUGUAGAUUGGCCUGAGCAAAUUUGGUGUCAGUGGGACGAAAGCCUUAGGAGUAGUUAGCCACAUUCCAAUGUGUGCGAAUCGGCAAAAAAUGCAAAAUAUCCCUUUAACCGUACAUUUUACAGAUACGCGCGCAUUGACUUUUUCGUAGAUCUUAUUGAGAUACAUGUGAUUGUCAAAUUUUGUGUCAAUAUGACAAAGCGUACAGGUAUGACAGUCAACAAUGUGUUUUUUCACCUUAUGGGACAAGAAAAAAUGGACUUUUUUCUCCUGCCAUGGGGGGGCGCUCUUUUGGGGAGUAAAAAUUCCUUCACAAAUGUGUUGAUGGCUGGACAUUGCAUCAUCCUAGAAAACUUGGAGACCAGUGAGGGCAAAAAUAAAAAGUUAUAAGACUUUUAAAUAUGUGGAUCUUAGGGUUAUCUUUGGCGCCCCCUAGAACCUAAACCGUGGGGUGCAGCGUCAUGAUUUGAAUAACUUUUAAUGGCCAUGGGGUGUAGAUUGGCCUGAGCAAAUGUGGUGCCGGUGGAACGAAAGCCUUCGGAGGAGUUAGCGAAAUUCCAAUGUGUGCGGAUCGGCAAAAAAUGCGAAAUAACCCUUUAACCGUACAUUUGACAGAUACGCCCGCACUGACUUUUUUGUAGAUCUUAUUGAGAUACAUGUGUGUGUCAUUUUUUGUGUCAUUUUGACAAAGCAUACAGGCGUGACAGUGAAUAGUGUGAAUUUUCACCUUAGGGGGCGCUAUGGAGCCAUUUUGCAUUUUCUUGUUUGGGCGACUUCAGAAUAUCAAAUUUUUCACCAGGCCCGGUCGUCCUGCCAAAUUUCAUGAGUUUUCGCCAGUGGGAAGUGGGCCAUUUUCCAGUUCAAAGGGGAGGAAAAAUAAUAAUAAUAACAAACUAGGACCCCGUUGGGGCACUGGCGGGCCCGAGCCGUGUCGCGUCCCCCCCCCCCCCCCCCCCAACGUGCUGCCUCCCCGUCCCAUUUGUGUCCUCUGGCCAUCGCCCUCUCUGUUAACGCCCAUCACUGCAAAGACCCUUUUCCUUCAUCGGCGUUUGCUGUUCUUCCUGCCAGUGCGUGUUGCUUUCACUUACACUUGCCACAGCCAGCCUCGUGAGUGCCUAGCCUAUUGGAUAUCACUGUCACCUACACAGGACAGUCAUUACCUUUCUAUUAAUACUUUGUGUUUUAAUUUCACAUUAAUUUCCAUAUUGUAUAAACGACUGGAAAAAACUUGAGCCCCUGCCCCUGUAUAAUCAUGUGCACGUCCCUGUUCUAGCUCCAAGGUGAAUCUUCACUGCUCAUGUUCUCCUCAGAAAUAGUCACCUCACUCCCCUCAGGUUACUGUACACAUGCACCAACUAUCUGCUUCAGGUUUGAAAUGGAGCUUCAUGGUUGUCUUUUGGAGAAAUGAACAGUCAAGUUGUGUUUGAAAUUUGAUUUUUUUCAGGGGCAAAAGGAGCCUCUGCAUUCUUGUCAAAUAUGUAAAUAGCAUGUUUUUGCAGGUGCUAAAAACCAGACUCUGAGUGUGUGUGUGUGUGUGUGUGUGUGUGUGUGUGUGCGUGUGUGUGUGUCUGUGUGUGCGUUCAAGUCACAUGACAUAUUUAACCGGAUGUAGCUGCAAGACGGAGCCUCGUUGACUCUCCGUUUCAACUUAUCUCAAAAGUGAGGACCUCAACCUAUAUACCAGUUUUUAAAUUGUGUUGAUAGGCCAAAUAAAACCAGAGUUAUGAUAAAUUAUGUCCGCGAUACUUUUUUUCUGCUUAUUUUGAUCACGUUCGGCGCUUGAUCGCGCUGUAUGAGACAGGAAAACAUAGCAUGCAGACAUUAGCGACAGGUCUUACAGGCGGAAAAGGCUUGCCAAAAGAAAAAAAAACACACCACAACAUCUCUCCUAUUGGUGGAAAACUUCACCACAACAACCAAUCCAAAAUUAUAUGGUGACUGAUUGACAAGGGGCGGGCGCUUACGUUCUUCCUGCAACAUGAGAAGGGAGGGAGGGACUCUCAGCAGGGAUGCAGUCUGGGACACGUAGUUGCAAACCUAGCGACUUUGUUGUUAGAUUCAAUGACUUUUCAGACCCCCUAACGACUUUUUUUAGAAAGAAAGGGACUUUUAUCGACUUCUUCUGGAGUUUAGAGACUCUGACAUGAAGCAGGCUUUCCUUACUGAGGAGUUAGCAACGCUGCUAAGGGUGCAGAGCCACACAUGCGCUCAGAGCUCUGCAUGGGAGACUGAAGCUGACAGAGCUGCAGCAGUUAGCAGGUUUCACCCUCAGAGACCACCAGGGGUUCAUGUUGAGGCAUUUUAAUUUUUUUUUUUUUUGUGCCAUAGACACUGUCAGCACAAUCUGCAGUUACACUAACAAAAAUGCUGCAAAAAACAAAGAAUUAUGGAAAAAUUACACAUGGACUGACAUAGAGGAGGAUCUACACAAGUUUUUUACAUCAUGUUUUACAUCAUGCAUCAUUUACAUCAUGUUUUUUUGUAGUGGCAUAAAUAAAAAGUGACAUUUGUGAGACUAUACAGUGUUUUGUAAAUAAUUUUACAAAGAACGCCUGGGCCAUUGCCUGCAUUUUGAUGUAAAUAGAGGUAAAUUACUAUGUUCUUUGUUAAAAAUUUGCAUAUGUUUUGAAGUUUACAAUUUUUAUUUGAAGUUUAAGUUUUAAAAACAGUUCAUCACACAUAUUUGUGGUUUAAUUUCACAUUAAUUUCCAUAUUGUAUAAAUGACUGGAAAAAACUUGAGCCCCUGCCCCUGUAUAAUCAUGUGCACGUCCCUGUUCUAGCUCCAAGGUGAAUCUUCACUGCUCAUGUUCUCCUCAGAAAUAGUCACCUCACUCCCCUCAGGUUACUGUACACAUGCACCAACUAUCUGCUUCAGGUUUGAAAUGGAGCUUCAUGGUUGUCUUUUGGAGAAAUGAACGGUCAAGUUGUGUUUGAAAUUUGAUUUUUUUCAGGGGCAAAAGGAAGCCUCUGCAUUCUUGUCAAAUAUGUAAACAGCAUGUUUUUGCAGGUGCUAAAAAACAGACUCUGAGUGUGUGUGUGUGUGUGUGUGUGUGUGUGUGUGUGUGUGUGUGUGUGUGUAUGUUGGCGUGUGUGUAUAUGUGUGUGUAUCCUGCAGUACUCUGUACUCCUGCAGUGGCCAAAAAGACUUUUAAGAAUGUGGAUUUUUGGGUCAUCUUUGGCGCCCCCUAGAACUGCAGUACUCUGUACUCCUGCAGUGGCCAAAAUGACUUUUAAGAAUGUGGAUUUUUGGGUCAUCUUUGGCGCCCCCUAGAACGUAAACCGUGGGGUGCAGCGUCAUGAUUUUUACAACUUUGAAUGGGCAUGGGGUGUAGAUUGCCCUGAGCAAAUUUGGUAUCGGUGGGACGAAAGCCUUAGGAGGAGAUAGCCACAUUCCAAUGUGUGCGAAUCGGCAAAAAAUGCAAAAUAGCCCUUUAACCGUACAUUAUAAAGAUACGCGCUCUUUGACUUUUUCGUAGAUCUAAUUGAGAUACACAUGAUUGUCAAUUUUUGUGUCAAUAUGACAAAGCGUUCAGGUGUGACACUCAACAAUGUGUAUUUUCAUGUAAGGGGACAAGAAAAAAUUGACUUUUAUCUCCUACCAUGGGGGGGCGCUCUUUUGGGGAGUAAAAAUUCCUUCACAAAUGUGUUGAUGGCUGGACAUUGCAUCAUCCUAGAAAACUUGGAGGCCAGUGAGGACAAAAAUAAAAAGUUAUAAAACAUUUAAGAAUGUGGAUUUUUGGGUUAUUUUUGGCGCCCCCUAGAACCUAAACCAUGGGGUGCAGCAUCAUGAUUUGAAUAACUUUUAAUGGCCAUGGGGUGUAGAUUGGCCUGAGCAAAUGUGGUGCCGGUGGAACGAAAGCCUUCGGAGGAGUUAGCGAAAUUCCAAUGUGUGCGUAUCGGCAAAAAAUGCGGAAUAACCCUUUAACUGUACAUUUGACAGAUAUGCGCGCAUUGACUUUUUUGUAGAUCUUAUUGAGUUACAUGUGUGUGUCAAUUUUUGUGUCAUUUUGACAAAGCGUAUAGGCGUGACACUCAACAAUGUGUAUUUUCACCUUAGGGGACAAGAAAAAAUGGACUUUUUUCUCCUGCCAUGGGGGGGCGCUCUUUUGGGGAGUAAAAAUUCCUUCACAAAUGUGUUGAUGGCUGGACAUUGCAUCAUCCUAGAAAACUUGGAGGCCAGUGAGGACAAAAAUAAAAAGUUAUAAGACUUUUAAAUAUGUGGAUUUUAGUGUUAUCUUUGGCGCCCCCUAGAACCUAAACCGUGGGGUGCAGCGUCAUGAUUUUGAUAACUUUUAAUGGCCACGGGGUGUAGAUUGGCCUGAGCAAAUGUGGUGCCGGUGGAACGAAAGCCUUCGGAGGAGUUAGCGAAAUUCCAAUGUGUGCGGAUCGGCAAAAAAUGCGAAAUAACCCUUUAACCGUACAUUUGACAGAUACGGCCGCACUGACUUUUUUGUAGAUCUUAUUGAGAUACAUAUGUGUGUCAAUUUUUGUGUCAAUAUGACAAAGCGUACAGGCGUGACAGUCAAUAGUGUGAAUUUCCACCUUAGGGGGCGCUAUGGAGCCAUUUUGCAUUUUAUUGUUUGGGCGACUUCAGAAUAUCGAAUUUUUCACCAGGCCCGGUCGUCCUGCCAAAUUUCAUGAGUUUUCGCCAGUGGGAAGUGGGCCAUUUUCCAGUUCAAAGGGGAGGAAAAAGAAGAAAGAAAGAAAGAAAGAAAGAAAGAAAGAAACAAAGAAAAACCACUUGGGGAAUAAUAGGGCCUACGCCCGGCUGCUCUGCAGCUGGCUCGGGCCCUAACUAGGACCCCGUUGGGGCACUGGCGGGCCCGAGCCGUGUCGCGCCCCCCCCCCCCAACGUGCUGCCUCCCCGUCCCAUUUGUGUCCUCUGGCCAUCGCCCUCUCUGGUAACGCCCAUCACUGCAAAGACCCUUUUCCUUCAUCGGCGUUUGCUGUUCUUCCUGCCAGUGCGUGUUGCUUUCACUUACACUUGCCACAGCCAGCCUCGUGAGUGCCUAGCCUAUUGGAUAUCACUGUCACCUACACAGGACAGUCAUUACCUUUCUAUUAAUACUUUGUGUUUUAAUUUCACAUUAAUUUCCAUAUUGUAUAAACGACUGGAAAAAACUUGAGCCCCUGCCCCUGUAUAAUCAUGUGCAUGUCUCUGUUCUAGCUCCAAGGUGAAUCUUCACUGCUCAUGUUCUCCUCAGAAGCACUCACCUCACUCCCCUCAGGUUACUGUACACAUGCACCAACUGCCUGCUUCAGGUUUGGAUGGAGCUUCAUGGUUGUCUUUUGGAGAAAUGACCAGUCAAGUUGUGUUUGAAAUUUGAUUUUUUUCAGGGGCAAAAGGAGCCUCUGCAUUCUUGUCAAAUAUGUAAAUAGCAUGUUUUUGCAGGUGCUAAAAACCAGACUCUGAGUGUGUGUGUGUGUGUGUGUGUGUGUGUGUGUGUGUGUGUGUGUGUGUGCGUGUGUGUGUGUCUAUGUGUGCGUUCAAGUCACAUGACAUAUUUAACCUGAUGUAGCUGCAGGACGGAGCCUCGUUGACUCUCCGUUUCAACUUAUCUCAAAAGUGAGGACCUCAACCUAUAUACCAGUUUUUAAAUUGUGUUGAUAGGCCAAAUAAAACCAGAGUUAUGAUAAAUUAUGUCCGCGAUACUUUUUUUCUGCUUAUUUUGAUCACGUUCGGCGCUCGAUCGCGCUGUAUGAGACAGGAAAACAUAGCAUGCAGACAUUAGCGACAGGUCUUACAGGCGGAAAAGGCUUGCCAAAAGAAAAAAAAAACACACCACAACAUCUCUCCUAUUGGUGGAAAACUUCACCACAACAACCAAUCCAAAAUUAUAUGGUGACUGAUUGACAAGGGGCGGGCGCUUACGUUCUUCCUGCAACAUGAGAAGGGAGGGAGGGACUCUCAGCAGGGAUGCAGUCUGGGACACGUAGUUGCAAACCUAGCGACUUUGUUGUUAGAUUCAAUGACUUUUCAGACACCCUAACGACUUUUUUUUAGAAAGAAAGGGACUUUUAUCGACUUCUUCUGGAGUUUAGAGACUCUGACAUGAAGCAGGCUUUCCUUACUGAGGAGUUAGCAACGCUGCUAAGGGUGCAGAGCCACACAUGCGCUCAGAGCUCUGCAUGGGAGACUGAAGCUGACAGAGCUGCAGCAGUUAGCAGGUUUCACCCUCAGAGACCACCAGGGGUUCAUGUUGAGGCAUUUUAUUUUAUUUUUUUUUUUGUGCCAUAGACACUGUCAGCAAAAUCUGCAGUUACACUAACAAAAAUGCUGCAAAAAACAAAGAAUUAUGGAAAAAUUACACAUGGACUGACAUAGAGGAGGAUCUACACAAGUUUUUUACAUCAUGUUUUACAUCAUGCAUCAUUUACAUCAUGUUUUUUUGUAGUGGCAUAAAUAAAAAGUGACAUUUGUGAGACUAUACAGUGUUUUGUAAAUAAUUUUACAAAGAACGCCUGGGCCAUUGCCUGCAUUUUGAUGUAAAUAGAGGUAAAUUACUAUGUUCUUUGUUAAAAAUUUGCAUAUGUUUUGAAGUUUACAAUUUUUAUUUGAAGUUUAAGUUUUAAAAACAGUUCAUCACACAUAUUUGUGGUUUAAUUUCACAUUAAUUUCCAUAUUGUAUAAAUGACUGGAAAAAACUUGAGCCCCUGCCCCUGUAUAAUCAUGUGCACGUCCCUGUUCUAGCUCCAAGGUGAAUCUUCACUGCUCAUGUUCUCCUCAGAAAUAGUCACCUCACUCCCCUCAGGUUACUGUACACAUGCACCAACUAUCUGCUUCAGGUUUGAAAUGGAGCUUCAUGGUUGUCUUUUGGAGAAAUGAACAGUCAAGUUGUGUUUGAAAUUUGAUUUUUUUCAGGGGCAAAAGGAAGCCUCUGCAUUCUUGUCAAAUAUGUAAACAGCAUGUUUUUGCAGGUGCUAAAAAACAGACUCUGAGUGUGUGUGUGUGUCUGUGUGUGUGUGUGUGUGUGUGUGUGUGUGUGUGUGUGUAUGUUGGCGUGUGUGUAUAUGUGUGUGUAUCCUGCAGUACUCUGUACUCCUGCAGUGGCCAAAAAGACUUUUAAGAAUGUGGAUUUUUGGGUCAUCUUUGGCGCCCCCUAGAACUGCAGUACUCUGUACUCCUGCAGUGGCCAAAAUGACUUUUAAGAAUGUGGAUUUUUGGGUCAUCUUUGGCGCCCCCUAGAACGUAAACCGUGGGGUGCAGCGUCAUGAUUUUUACAACUUUGAAUGGGCAUGGAGUGUAGAUUGCCCUGAGCAAAUUUGGUAUCGGUGGGAUGAAAGCCUUAGGAGGAGAUAGCCACAUUCCAAUGUGUGCGAAUCGGCAAAAAAUGCAAAAUAGCCCUUUAACCGUACAUUAUACAGAUACGCGCUUUUUGACUUUUUCGUAGAUCUAAUUGAGAUACACAUGAUUGUCAAUUUUUGUGUCAAUAUGACAAAGCGUUCAGGCGUGACACUCAACAAUGUGUAUUUUUAUGUAAGGGGACAAGAAAAAAUUGACUUUUUUCUCCUACCAUGGGGGGGCGCUCUUUUGGGGAGUAAAAAUUCCUUCACAAAUGUGUUGAUGGCUGGACAUUGCAUCAUCCUAGAAAACUUGGAGGCCAGUGAGGACAAAAAUAAAAAGUUAUAAAACAUUUAAGAAUGUGGAUUUUUGGGUUAUUUUUGGCGCCCCCUAGAACCUAAACCAUGGGGUGCAGCAUCAUGAUUUGAAUAACUUUUAAUGGCCAUGGGGUGUAGAUUGGCCUGAGCAAAUGUGGUGCCGGUGGAACGAAAGCCUUCGGAGGAGUUAGCGAAAUUCCAAUGUGUGCGUAUCGGCAAAAAAUGCGGAAUAACCCUUUAACUGUACAUUUGACAGAUACGCGCGCAUGGACUUUUUUGUAGAUCUUAUUGAGUUACAUGUGUGUGUCAAUUUUUGUGUCAUUUUGACAAAGCGUAUAGGCGUGACACUCAACAAUGUGUAUUUUCACCUUAGGGGACAAGAAAAAAUGGACUUUUUUCUCCUGCCAUGGGGGGGCGCUCUUUUGGGGAGUAAAAAUUCCUUCACAAAUGUGUUGAUGGCUGGACAUUGCAUCAUCCUAGAAAACUUGGAGGCCAGUGAGGACAAAAAUAAAAAGUUAUAAGACUUUUAAAUAUGUGGAUUUUAGUGUUAUCUUUGGCGCCCCCUAGAACCUAAACCUUGGGGUGCAGCGUCAUGAUUUUGAUAACUUUUAAUGGCCACGGGGUGUAGAUUGGCCUGAGCAAAUGUGGUGCCGGUGGAACGAAAGCCUUCGGAGGAGUUAGCGAAAUUCCAAUGUGUGCGGAUCGGCAAAAAAUGCGAAAUAACCCUUUAACCGUAAUUUUGACAGAUACGGCCGCACUGACUUUUUUGUAGAUCUUAUUGAGAUACAUAUGUGUGUCAAUUUUUGUGUCAAUAUGACAAAGCGUACAGGCGUGACAGUCAAUAGUGUGAAUUUCCACCUUAGGGGGCGCUAUGGAGCCAUUUUGCAUUUUAUUGUUUGGGCGACUUCAGAAUAUCGAAUUUUUCACCAGGCCCGGUCGUCCUGCCAAAUUUCAUGAGUUUUCGCCAGUGGGAAGUGGGCCAUUUUCCAGUUCAAAGGGGAGGAAAAAGAAGAAACUAGGGCCCCGUUGGGGCACUGGCGGGCCCGAGCCGUGUCACGCCGCCCCCAGCGCGACCACCUCCCCCACCCGAGCGCGUCACACUCAAGGUCCAAAGAUGGUGUGCGCACUUGUUUGUGGUCAUUUACCAUUAUAAUGAACGGGAGGCGCAGUUUCUACCAAAACGCUCGCUGCAGAAAAACUCCAUGUCCUAUUUGAAAAAAGUCUGGACCAUGAGUGAGGGCACAAACACAGCUAAGAUAUAUCCAAAU
Molecule: non-coding RNA, 11282 nt
Organism: Xyrichtys novacula (pearly razorfish)
Lineage: Eukaryota; Metazoa; Chordata; Actinopteri; Labriformes; Labridae
Source: the annotation of a GenBank genome assembly